GGAGGGAGGGGGCCUGGAGAAGGGCCUGCGGACCCAGACCAAGGAAGACCCAGCGGAGCGCACACCCUGGAAGGAGAGAGCGGGAGAGAUCGGGAGAGGAGACCCCCAAAGAAGGGAGCAAAGGGAUCAAGAGAGAUGGGGAAACUGAGGCCCAGCAGAGGGAAGGCAAUGGCCCAAGGACCACAGUGCCGGGUCGCCAGCUCUCCCCGGAGCUCCUCGAACCUGAAGACGCGGGGGACUGCCUUCGCGAUGCAAAGAGAAGGCCCCCUCAGGAGGGCCGUGUCUCUGCAGCCGCAAAGACUAGACAAGCGUGAAAAUGGCUAGAGAUUUUCCUUUUCUUCUUUUUUCUUUUUCCUUACUCCUUUGCUCUCUCCCUUCCCUCUUCCCUGCCUCCAUUUAAUCCCUUUCUUCUUUUAUUAACUCUCCCUUCUCUACCAGCAUCACAUUCUUUUGCUCUCACUCUCCUUCCUUACUGUUCUCCUCUCCCUUUCCCAAUUUCCUUCUGUCAGAAAAAGGGCCAAGCCACGGUCUUUUCCCUAAUAAUAAAGAGGAGGCC
Phyllostomus hastatus (greater spear-nosed bat) is the source of this 556-nucleotide long non-coding RNA. RefSeq lists it as uncharacterized. The record is from RefSeq and is a predicted model, not a curated record. Lineage: Eukaryota; Metazoa; Chordata; Mammalia; Chiroptera; Phyllostomidae. The transcript is spliced from 3 exons.